AUUAGCUAAACAAAGAAAUCAUGGCGGAUUGUUUACAUUUGGCAGCGCCCGGGCCGAGCAACCGCCGGCCCCCAGCAGCCGCCGCGGCCCCCGAGGAGUCGGCGAAAUGCCCCCGCGCCCCGGCCGGAGAUUUGAAACUAUCGCUUUGCUGAAAACAUCUGGCUGCCGGUCUAGAAUCUGACUCAAGAUUCUCUAUCUACUGUGGUGAUGCUAUUAUUUGGAACUUACCGAUUUGGGCUCCUUCCAGACCUGAAAACUGAUUACAAAUAUGAAACAGAUUUCACUACUGGACUGAAGCUCCACAUAAAAAAGAAGAAGAUCCUCAAAAUAAUUGAAAAGGGUCCUCACCAAAGAAUAGAUGCAAUGUGACUGGCAGGAUAUGAACGAGGUUGCAGUGCUCACAAGUGAAGAAUAUGGCAUCUAAAGGUGACCCUCCCCAUAAAGCUGGGACCCUAAAGAGCCACACUCUCAAUUAUCCCACACGGAGUUGUUGGAAUUACCUUGUGAUGAUUUCAAAGAACAUUUUCUUCUCUACACACUCUUAUCCCAAGAGGGAAGAACACACCAAGGAAGUCAAAAUGAGAAAAGGAAGCAGCCAGGCCUGAGACUCCCUGAGAAAGAGAAGAGUACCAUGUUCUCCAAGGCUGAUCCCAAAGGCACAACCAAGCUCCUCCCAAGUUAGAGAGUUUUCAGCUGAGUGAAGAAGUAGUGAGCACUAAACAUGUGGCAAGCAUUAAACACAUUUAAAGGGAGAUGCGUCUUCGAGAUACCUAGGAGACCAGGAGCUGAUUUCCACUGGAAGAUGCUGGGUUGUGAUCCAGAGCAGAAAACACAAUAAAAAGAAGAGCCCGAGGAUUUGAGAGAAGGUUUGGAACGUGGCGAUGGAGGAAUAACAUUCCUAGGAGAAGUGAAGAUACUUUCUCCUCCCUGGUCCACCUGAGCAUGCAGCGUCCAGUGAAAGUGAUGAGAGGAUAUGGUGUUUGUGAAGUGUACACAUGCAGUGACACCCUCACCUUCCUAACAUCUACAGAUGCCAUCGUAGACAUUUUUCAAGCCCUCUUUUUGCCAUACACACAGCUUGGAAUACUUUGGUAGGCCUUUUACCUAAUUUUUAACCCUCAGAGAUGCUAAGGCAGAGGCAAGAAUAUGGUAUAAAUGGAAUGAAUGAAGGCAAAUGAGUGCAAAGAGAAGCAUUUACCUAACCUCAGCAAGAUAGACAGAUAGGUCUUUCCUAAAUUGUUGUAUAAGUAAAGAGCUAUUGGAUCAAUCUUUAUGUGAUCGUUCCUCCCUAGUUUUAAUAAAAUAUUCCAGUUUGGGGGAAAUUCCUUCCCUUGUCAAUAAAAUAUAAAAAGAAGAAAACUUUAAAAUA
Eubalaena glacialis (North Atlantic right whale) is the source of this 1369-nucleotide long non-coding RNA. RefSeq lists it as uncharacterized. NCBI's taxonomy places the organism in Eukaryota, Metazoa, Chordata, Mammalia, Artiodactyla, Balaenidae. The transcript has 10 exons. The record is from RefSeq and is a predicted model, not a curated record.